This 167-nucleotide unclassified non-coding RNA is filed under the name uncultured Hyaloscyphaceae. RNAcentral's name for it is "sequence contains ITS1". The record is from RNAcentral. Lineage: Eukaryota; Fungi; Ascomycota; Leotiomycetes; Helotiales.
CAGAGUUCAUGCCCUCACGGGUAGAUCUCCCACCCUGUGUUAUAUUACCUUUGUUGCUUUGGCGGGCCGUUAUCUUUACGGCUAGCCACCGGCUUAGGCUGGUGUGUGCCCGCCAGAGGACCCCAAACUCUGAAUAUUAUUGUCGUCUGAGUACUAUAUAAUAGUUA